RNAcentral lists this ribosomal RNA (1434 nucleotides) under uncultured bacterium. Its description in RNAcentral is "16S ribosomal RNA". It matches the Rfam family "Bacterial small subunit ribosomal RNA". The record is from RNAcentral.
AGGGUUUGAUCCUGGCUCAGGAUGAACGCUAGCUACAGGCUUAACACAUGCAAGUCGCGGGGCAGCAUGAAUUUAGCUUGCUAAAUUUGAUGGCGACCGGCGCACGGGUGAGUAACGCGUAUCCAACCUUCCCCUGUCCACGGGAUAGCCCGUCGAAAGGCGGAUUAAUACCGUAUGAGGUCACACGAUGGCAUCAGACUGUGACGAAAGGUUUAGCGGACAGGGAUGGGGAUGCGUCCGAUUAGCUUGACGGCGGGGUGACGGCCCACCGUGGCGACGAUCGGUAGGGGUUCUGAGAGGAAGGUCCCCCACAUUGGAACUGAGACACGGUCCAAACUCCUACGGGAGGCAGCAGUGAGGAAUAUUGGUCAAUGGACGUAAGUCUGAACCAGCCAAGUAGCGUGCAGGAUGACGGCCCUAUGGGUUGUAAACUGCUUUUAUGCGGGGAUAACGUGCACCACGCGUGGUGUAUUGCAGGUACCGCAUGAAUAAGGACCGGCUAAUUCCGUGCCAGCAGCCGCGGUAAUACGGAAGGUCCGGGCGUUAUCCGGAUUUAUUGGGUUUAAAGGGAGCGUAGGCCGCUGUUUAAGCGUGUUGUGAAAAACCGGGGCUCAACUCCGGUCGUGCAGCGCGAACUGGACGGCUUGAGUGCGCGGUAAGUGGGCGGAAUUUGUGGUGUAGCGGUGAAAUGCUUAGAUAUCACGAAGAACUCCGAUUGCGAAGGCAGCUCACUGUAGCGCAACUGACGCUGAAGCUCGAAAGUGCGGGUAUCGAACAGGAUUAGAUACCCUGGUAGUCCGCACGGUAAACGAUGGAUGCCCGCUGUUCCGACUAUUAGUUGGAGUGGCCAAGCGAAAGCGUUAAGCAUCCCACCUGGGGAGUACGCCGGCAACGGUGAAACUCAAAGGAAUUGACGGGGGCCCGCACAAGCGGAGGAACAUGUGGUUUAAUUCGAUGAUACGCGAGGAACCUUACCCGGGCUUGAACUGCAGGAGAACGAUUCAGAGAUGAUGAGGCCCUUCGGGGCUCCUGUGGAGGUGCUGCAUGGUUGUCGUCAGCUCGUGCCGUGAGGUGUCGGCUUAAGUGCCAUAACGAGCGCAACCCCUCUCCGUAGUUGCCAUCAGGUGAAGCUGGGCACUCUGCGGACACUGCCACCGCAAGGUGUGAGGAAGGUGGGGAUGCGUCAAAUCAGCACGGCCCUUACGUCCGGGGCUACACACGUGUUACAAUGGGUGGUACAGAGUGCAGUUCACAUGCAAAUGUGUUCGAAUCAUUAAAUCCAUCCUCAGUUCGGACUGGGGUCUGCAACCCGACCCCACGAAGCUGGAUUCGCUAGUAAUCGCGCAUCAGCCAUGGCGCGGUGAAUACGUUCCCGGGCCUUGUACACACCGCCCGUCAAGCCAUGAAAGCCGGGGGCGCCUGAAGUCCGUGACC